UAAUUGAACCAAUUGAUACGGUAAGUUGGUCCUCUUAGGAUGCUACGUUCUUAUUGCUAUACAUUUCUUUAUGAAGUGCAAAAAAUAAAACCAAUUAAUUAUAGCUUUUGACUGGAAAAGAAAGUAAUGUGGCAUUCUUCUGCCAAAAUAAAGCAGCUUACAUGUGUGGAUCCUUGCUAUAUUUCUUCAAUCUUGUAGAAGAAAAGUUUGUAGAAGUGAGAAUUUAUUUGAUUUGUCCCUUCCAUUGUAAGUUCUGCAAAUGACUGCAUUGUAUGCCAUCCUGUUAACUUGCAUGCAAAUGUGGCUUUUAUUUGUCCAGAAAUGGAUUCGUUUAUAUAAUUGCCAUGUGCGUUGUGAUACUGGAAGUGCCAACUCUCUUAUGUUGGAGCCGUCUAGGAAGUCAAGUUAGCUUGCAAAAUGUACUUCUCAUCUCUCAAGCCGAUGCAACUUAAGAUGCCCUAUAGUUUUUAAUUAUAUUCCCACGUUGCAGUCAGUACCCAAAGGAAUGAUAACUGCACAAGUUUUUACAACAACUUGACAAAGCUGUUGAUACUUCACUCUUAGGUUCAGGAGAUUGAUAUGUCUUUGAUGAGCUAUGACCGUCAAAGAAAAAUAAGGCGGAAUUAAAUCAACUAUUUGAUUUUAUUAUAUUCCAUGGUAUGAUAAAAGGCCUCAUUCUUAGCAACUGCUGCAGGAACUAAAUCGGCUAUUUGAUUUUAUUAAAAUCUAUGCUUUAUAGAAGACCUCAUUGUUAGCAACUGCUGCAGGAACUAAAUCGGCUAUUUGAUUUUAUUAAAAUCUAUGCUUUAUAGAAGACCUCAUUG
This 824-nucleotide unclassified non-coding RNA is filed under the name Hevea brasiliensis (rubber tree). Lineage: Eukaryota; Viridiplantae; Streptophyta; Magnoliopsida; Malpighiales; Euphorbiaceae. The record is from RNAcentral.